AGUGAACGCUGGCGGUAGGCCUAACACAUGCAAGUCGAACGGCAGCACAGUAAGAGCUUGCUCUUACGGGUGGCGAGUGGCGGACGGGUGAGGAAUACAUCGGAAUCUACUUUUUCGUGGGGGAUAACGUAGGGAAACUUACGCUAAUACCGCAUACGACCUACGGGUGAAAGCAGGGGAUCUUCGGACCUUGCGCGAUUGAAUGAGCCGAUGUCGGAUUAGCUAGUUGGCGGGGUAAAGGCCCACCAAGGCGACGAUCCGUAGCUGGUCUGAGAGGAUGAUCAGCCACACUGGAACUGAGACACGGUCCAGACUCCUACGGGAGGCAGCAGUGGGGAAUAUUGGACAAUGGGCGCAAGCCUGAUCCAGCCAUACCGCGUGAGUGAAGAAGGCCUUCGGGUUGUAAAGACCUUUUGUUGGGAAAGAAAAGCAGCAGGUUAAUACCCCGCUGUUCUGACGGUACCCAAAGAAUAAGCACCGGCUAACUUCGUG
This 492-nucleotide ribosomal RNA is filed under the name uncultured bacterium. RNAcentral describes it as "partial 16S ribosomal RNA". It matches the Rfam family "Bacterial small subunit ribosomal RNA", at positions 29 to 507 of the family's 1533-position model. The record is from RNAcentral.